CUCCUUUUUCUAUUUCUUUUUCCAUCAUUUUUCUCCCCUCUUCUUUAUCUUCUACUGUGUGUGUGUUUUUUGAAUCUAUUCCUUAUUGAUUUUGUUCCUAUUAUUAAUAUUAUUGUUGUUGUUGUUGUUGUUGUUAUCAUCCUCAUGAACCUGCUUCAUUGACAUUGCAUUUCAAUGAAGAAUAGCUUGCAGUAUCCAUCAUCCAAAGACAAAUCCUGACACUGGGUUUUAGAAGUGGUCAGACACAUUACACAACAGGUUGUAUAGAGAAUUUUGUUUGUCAGUUAUGGGGGGAUAUCACUUUUUUGCUUGCUCUCUCACUCACUCACACUUACACACACAUACACACACAAAUAAUAACAAUGUUCUUUUUUUGCCCCCUUUGCUGAUCUCCUGUUUCAAUCAAUCUUUGUGCUGAGUGUCACCACCAGCAGCAGCAACAGCAGCAUCACUUGCUGCCAGCCAGCCAGCUACAAAAGUGCUCCAGCCUUGUUGCAGAUUUCCUUUUUCCUAUUUUCUCUUUCUAACGGCAGAGACUGGCAGCAUUCAAAACAAACAUGCAAAAACUAAUAAAUAAUGAAGGUAAACAUUUGUAUAUAUAUAUAUAUAUAUAUACACUUAUAUAUUCAAUAGUGAACAUGCAUGGAAAAAAGGCGAGAACAAGGAGAAGGAGAAGAAGAAGAAGAAGACAAAGCAGAAGAAUGAGGGUUGUGCUAGGCAUGACAAAUGGCAUUAAAAAGGUGGCGGCGCAUUACCAAACAGACCGGAAGCAGAACUGUGAUUGUAAAAAGGUACAAAAAUGUGUAUAUAUAUAUAUAUAUAUAUACACGGAAAAGUUAUGGAAAAGUAACAAUAUAUAUAUAUAUAUAUAUAUAAGGUAGGAUGAAAUGGAUGUCUUUUGCCAGGUCUUUGUGUCCAAGCAGUGUUUCUUUUUCUUCUUCUUCUGCCAUUUUUUUUUUUUGACAGAGAGCCUGUCUCCCUGUAUGUGUUUGCUCCUGACUUCUAUGUGGCAUUUUCCCUUCCAGUUCAGCAUUCAAUUUUUCAACUUAUUCCAUCCAUUUCUGAGCUGGUUCUUCUUCUGCUUUUCCCAGACAAGCCUGCAGCAAAUCACAACAGACACAUAGCAGUGGCAUACUUGUGCAUUAACUUCAUCCCCCCCCCCUCUAUUGCAAUACAACUGGGCAUGAAGCCUCUCCAUCCCCCCUCCUCUUCCCCUUUUUCCCCUUUUAAAUAAAUAAAAUAAAAAAUAAAUAUGUGCAUACAAUUUUCUAGCAUUGCUAUAAAAUAUAAUCACCUCAUCAUCAUACAGCUAAGCUGCUAUCAAACUCUUCAGUUUUGCAGGUUUGGGAACUGCAGCAACUGGCUGCAGAUACACAGUAGAACAACUCAUCAUCAAUGAAGGCUGUACUAACCCAAAUGCGUAGAAAACAUAUACAUAUAUAGAUAUAGAUACACUUCACAAAAGUUGAAUUAUUAUCUCCUUCCUCUGUUUUUCUGAAGGAAGUUUGAAUUGUGAUUAGAAUGUUCCCUGUGUGUGUGAGAGAGAGAAUGGGUUGAAAGUGAAGAAUCUGAUCUCAAGAACAGUGGCAUGCAGACAGCCACCAACCGCAGAGGACACAGUGUGUUAUUGUUUCAACCAUAACAAACAACAAACAAACAACCACUGCUGCUGCAGUUAGGUAGGUUUCCUUGGAGCCAGCUGGAACCAGCACCACCCAAACAAACACAGGAGCACAAAAGAAUAGAAGAAUAGAAGGAGUUGCUUCCUAUGGCUUUUUCCAUCUUAGAUUGAUCAAUAACAAUAACAAUUCUACACACAAUAACAACAACUACUCAAUAACAAACUCUCGUAUUCUUUGUCAAUGUUCAAAAAGAUUGUUUGAAUACACAGAAACCCUAACAGAAGUAAACAAGCUUGUGUCUGCAAAUGCAUGUAAUGAUGUGUGUGUGUACCCAAAAUCCCUCUUGCUAAUUAAAGAUGGAGACAGGUUUCUGGUGUGCUCAAUUUGUGGGUUUGAAUUGAAAGUUUGUUGUGCAAGGUGGAGUGUGUUUUGGUGUGAUUGAUGGCCCCAGAUAGGCUUCCAAGGUGGUCAUUUUAGUAUGUGAAGGUUUGAUGUAUUCCAAUACAAACAAGUUGGGGUGUUCCGUUGGCUUGGUUCCGCACAAACCCUAAUUUCCUUCUACUUCUUCUUCUUCUUCUUCUUCUGCUUCUAUUGAUUUUUUUGUAUGUCUUUUUGUGUCUUUCUAUGAUAUUAUGUGAGCUUUGUUACAAUGAAUAUAUGUCAUGUUGUGGGUGCCACAAGUUCUUAUUUGGGUACAUGCCUGCUGAUCAGGCAUAAGAAAAAGCAAAAGCUAAAUGCAAAAAGAGCAUGCAAGCCCAGGCUUUGAUUUUAAUUUUUCUAGGCCUUCAUCAGUCAGGGGAACAUGAAGAGAAUGUGUGGUCCUCUCCCAUGAAAGCACAUUUUGCACAUGAAUUUGUGCAUGUGCAAAACAUGGCCAUGUUCUCACCCAUUAUUUUUCUGUACCAAGGGUUUGUUUCCAACUCUAUAAAUAUUAUUUGUUUGUAUCACAUGCACAAGAAGAAAUAGUUGUUGUGCUCAUAGCCUCCAACAAACUAAGGACAUUACCCAGAUAUUGAACCAUGACAUUGUAUGUAAGCAUCUCCACACUUGAAAAAAAACAACAAUGAUAAUGACAACAAACAAUGUAAUGUAGAAGAAAAAAGAAAAAGAAGAAGAAAACAAACAUGUCACAACAUUCACUCGUGUAAUUUCAUUAACCGUGCAUCCAUCCCCUAAUCUUUUUCUACCUCUCUUUUUCCCCCCAUUUUUACAUAUUUUCUACAUGUUUUCAUACUCAAAACCAAUCCUCUGUGCAACCAUUAUCUUCUGACAAACACAAUUACACUUUUUUCAACUUCUAAAAACACAAUUCAUAAACCCUAAACCUUUGUCAUGGUUGAAUUCAUUCACAAUCCAUAAUAUUCAUGGUUCCAAUGUGUAUGAACAUUGGGGACGAACAUUUGAAUUAGGGUUUUUUUGGGGGGGUGGAGGGGGGAGAAAUAAUGCAACGAAACAUGGUUGUCCAGCUGGUGAGCAAUGUUUGUCCGCAUGUCUGUGACUUUGACUCUGUCUGUCUAUUUGUCCCUCUGUCUCUCUGUCCCUCUGUGUCCCUCUGUCUGUUGGUUUGUUUGUUUGUUUAUGUUGGCGAAAGCAGGAUCCAGUCGAGGAGCCCUAAACCAGGGCUCCCCAUGCAACCAACCCCCUCCCUUCUGCUUCUCAGGCGGGACUGACUGGGGAUGGGUGGG
RNAcentral lists this long non-coding RNA (3307 nucleotides) under Physcomitrium patens. Its description in RNAcentral is "long non-coding RNA (PPAT_LNC002534)". The record is from RNAcentral. Lineage: Eukaryota; Viridiplantae; Streptophyta; Bryopsida; Funariales; Funariaceae.